This 233-nucleotide long non-coding RNA is filed under the name Homo sapiens (human). Its description in RNAcentral is "non-protein coding lnc-CLNS1A-4:1". Lineage: Eukaryota; Metazoa; Chordata; Mammalia; Primates; Hominidae. The record is from RNAcentral.
GGGGCUAUACAGAUGAAUGUAAAAAUUAUUAUUUCAGAUGUGAAUUGUCAUUGGUCAACCUUUUGAGGGCAAUAAUUAUAUUUUAUUCAUCUCCAUACCUCUAGUGCCUACCACCAUAGCCAUCCCACAGACUCAUCUCCAUGGGGAGAUAAGGACCUGGGCACACCUUCCCCUUCCUGGACUUGGAGAUGUUCGCCCAGUUCCUGAAGGCUUCCCACACCCUGUCCUGCUCC